Molecule: ribosomal RNA, 2923 nt
Filed under: Escherichia coli
Lineage: Bacteria; Pseudomonadati; Pseudomonadota; Gammaproteobacteria; Enterobacterales; Enterobacteriaceae
Also listed under: 3 other names
Description: partial 23S ribosomal RNA
Rfam family: Bacterial large subunit ribosomal RNA
Source: RNAcentral
GUUGUGAGGUUAAGCGACUAAGCGUACACGGUGGAUGCCCUGGCAGUCAGAGGCGAUGAAGGACGUGCUAAUCUGCGAUAAGCGUCGGUAAGGUGAUAUGAACCGUUAUAACCGGCGAUUUCCGAAUGGGGAAACCCAGUGUGAUUCGUCACACUAUCAUUAACUGAAUCCAUAGGUUAAUGAGGCGAACCGGGGGAACUGAAACAUCUAAGUACCCCGAGGAAAAGAAAUCAACCGAGAUUCCCCCAGUAGCGGCGAGCGAACGGGGAGCAGCCCAGAGCCUGAAUCAGUGUGUGUGUUAGUGGAAGCGUCUGGAAAGGCGUGCGAUACAGGGUGACAGCCCCGUACACAAAAAUGCACAUACUGUGAGCUCGAUGAGUAGGGCGGGACACGUGGUAUCCUGUCUGAAUAUGGGGGGACCAUCCUCCAAGGCUAAAUACUCCUGACUGACCGAUAGUGAACCAGUACCGUGAGGGAAAGGCGAAAAGAACCCCGGCGAGGGGAGUGAAAAAGAACCUGAAACCGUGUACGUACAAGCAGUGGGAGCACGCUUAGGCGUGUGACUGCGUACCUUUUGUAUAAUGGGUCAGCGACUUAUAUUCUGUAGCAAGGUUAACCGAAUAGGGGAGCCGAAGGGAAACCGAGUCUUAACUGGGCGUUAAGUUGCAGGGUAUAGACCCGAAACCCGGUGAUCUAGCCAUGGGCAGGUUGAAGGUUGGGUAACACUAACUGGAGGACCGAACCGACUAAUGUUGAAAAAUUAGCGGAUGACUUGUGGCUGGGGGUGAAAGGCCAAUCAAACCGGGAGAUAGCUGGUUCUCCCCGAAAGCUAUUUAGGUAGCGCCUCGUGAAUUCAUCUCCGGGGGUAGAGCACUGUUUCGGCAAGGGGGUCAUCCCGACUUACCAACCCGAUGCAAACUGCGAAUACCGGAGAAUGUUAUUACGGGAGACACACGGCGGGUGCUAACGUCCGUCGUGAAGAGGGAAACAACCCAGACCGCCAGCUAAGGUCCCAAAGUCAUGGUUAAGUGGGAAACGAUGUGGGAAGGCCCAGACAGCCAGGAUGUUGGCUUAGAAGCAGCCAUCAUUUAAAGAAAGCGUAAUAGCUCACUGGUCGAGUCGGCCUGCGCGGAAGAUGUAACGGGGCUAAACCAUGCACCGAAGCUGCGGCAGCGACGCUUAUGCGUUGUUGGGUAGGGGAGCGUUCUGUAAGCCUGUGAAGGUGUGCUGUGAGGUAUGCUGGAGGUAUCAGAAGUGCGAAUGCUGACAUAAGUAACGAUAAAGCGGGUGAAAAGCCCGCUCGCCGGAAGACCAAGGGUUCCUGUCCAACGUUAAUCGGGGCAGGGUGAGUCGACCCCUAAGGCGAGGCCGAAAGGCGUAGUCGAUGGGAAACAGGUUAAUAUUCCUGUACUUGGUGUUACUGCGAAGGGGGGACGGAGAAGGCUAUGUUGGCCGGGCGACGGUUGUCCCGGUUUAAGCGUGUAGGCUGGUUUUCCAGGCAAAUCCGGAAAAUCAAGGCCGAGGCGUGAUGACGAGGCACUACGGUGCUGAAGCAACAAAUGCCCUGCUUCCAGGAAAAGCCUCUAAGCAUCAGGUAACAUCAAAUCGUACCCCAAACCGACACAGGUGGUCAGGUAGAGAAUACCAAGGCGCUUGAGAGAACUCGGGUGAAGGAACUAGGCAAAAUGGUGCCGUAACUUCGGGAGAAGGCACGCUGAUACGUAGGUGAAGCGACUUGCUCGUGGAGCUGAAAUCAGUCGAAGAUACCAGCUGGCUGCAACUGUUUAUUAAAAACACAGCACUGUGCAAACACGAAAGUGGACGUAUACGGUGUGACGCCUGCCCGGUGCCGGAAGGUUAAUUGAUGGGGUUAGCGCAAGCGAAGCUCUUGAUCGAAGCCCCGGUAAACGGCGGCCGUAACUAUAACGGUCCUAAGGUAGCGAAAUUCCUUGUCGGGUAAGUUCCGACCUGCACGAAUGGCGUAAUGAUGGCCAGGCUGUCUCCACCCGAGACUCAGUGAAAUUGAACUCGCUGUGAAGAUGCAGUGUACCCGCGGCAAGACGGAAAGACCCCGUGAACCUUUACUAUAGCUUGACACUGAACAUUGAGCCUUGAUGUGUAGGAUAGGUGGGAGGCUUUGAAGUGUGGACGCCAGUCUGCAUGGAGCCGACCUUGAAAUACCACCCUUUAAUGUUUGAUGUUCUAACGUGGACCCGUGAUCCGGGUUGCGGACAGUGUCUGGUGGGUAGUUUGACUGGGGCGGUCUCCUCCUAAAGAGUAACGGAGGAGCACGAAGGUUGGCUAAUCCUGGUCGGACAUCAGGAGGUUAGUGCAAUGGCAUAAGCCAGCUUGACUGCGAGCGUGACGGCGCGAGCAGGUGCGAAAGCAGGUCAUAGUGAUCCGGUGGUUCUGAAUGGAAGGGCCAUCGCUCAACGGAUAAAAGGUACUCCGGGGAUAACAGGCUGAUACCGCCCAAGAGUUCAUAUCGACGGCGGUGUUUGGCACCUCGAUGUCGGCUCAUCACAUCCUGGGGCUGAAGUAGGUCCCAAGGGUAUGGCUGUUCGCCAUUUAAAGUGGUACGCGAGCUGGGUUUAGAACGUCGUGAGACAGUUCGGUCCCUAUCUGCCGUGGGCGCUGGAGAACUGAGGGGGGCUGCUCCUAGUACGAGAGGACCGGAGUGGACGCAUCACUGGUGUUCGGGUUGUCAUGCCAAUGGCACUGCCCGGUAGCUAAAUGCGGAAGAGAUAAGUGCUGAAAGCAUCUAAGCACGAAACUUGCCCCGAGAUGAGUUCUCCCUGACCCUUUAAGGGUCCUGAAGGAACGUUGAAGACGACGACGUUGAUAGGCCGGGUGUGUAAGCGCAGCGAUGCGUUGAGCUAACCGGUACUAAUGAACCGUGAGGCUUAACCUUACAACGCCGAAG